GCCUCUCCGCACUCGACCUCCCCAAGAGUAGAUGUUUUUUCUUUUAUUUAUAGGCGAGGGAAGAAACUAUGCGGACUUCAAUCAGUUUGGAGUCUGACAGACUUCACAUGGUUUGGAAUUCGGAGGCUUCUAGAAGUCAGAACCGAAGUUAGAACUUAAUUGAUUUUAAGUCCGAUUUUCUGUAAUAUUUUAUCUUCUCUAUAUGGUUUCAGAAAUCUUUCUAUAGAUGAAUAGUUGUGAUAUCAGGAAUCUUCCUGUAGCUUGCU
RNAcentral lists this long non-coding RNA (266 nucleotides) under Elaeis guineensis (African oil palm). Its description in RNAcentral is "long non-coding RNA (EGUI_LNC045641)". The record is from RNAcentral. Lineage: Eukaryota; Viridiplantae; Streptophyta; Magnoliopsida; Arecales; Arecaceae.